This 2293-nucleotide long non-coding RNA is filed under the name Eucalyptus grandis. RNAcentral describes it as "long non-coding RNA (EGRA_LNC007552)". Lineage: Eukaryota; Viridiplantae; Streptophyta; Magnoliopsida; Myrtales; Myrtaceae. The record is from RNAcentral.
GAUUACAAACUUAGAUUGUUUACAAAAUUAAUGGCUUAUCAAAAAGGGGACUGUAUUAACAUCCACUAGUCAGACCCAUUUUUGCCGAUUCUUCAGCCUCCACCUUCCGAACUCCAGGACUUCCGGUCCUCCACGAUCGUCAUCUAGGGACCUGAAAUGUUUUUCCCCAAACCGGGAUGAGACUAUGUCUCAGCAAGUUCUACCCCACUAAGACCCAAUUAGGAAGCCAAUACGCCAUAAGGGCUGCCUAAGCACAACACAGGUCAAAGGGGCUUACCUUGGCAUCAGUUCCUUCCUGCACAUCAGUUCAAUUAAUAAUAUUUAUAACUACAGGAAACAAUCACAUUCCACCAAUCAGAUCGACUCAGCGAUCAAUCGACUUAAUCGAUUACAUGUCACCACGACCUUUCCUUGGUCGGUACAUUCAAUACUAUCUAUAAAGUCCGACCAUAGUCUAAGACUGCUCACCCAAGGCUGAUAAUAGAUAGCAUAGCUCGCCCAAAGCUGAUAGAUAUAGUAUACUAUGUAUAUGAUCGCCCAAAGCUGAUAGAUUAGGGCCACCAUGCCAAUUUAGUAUACUAUAUAUGCUCGCCCAAAGCUAAUAGAUUAGGGCCCCCAGGCCAAUUUAGUAUACUAUAUAUGCUCGCCCAAAGCUGAUGAAUAUAUCGCUCGCCCAAAGCUGAUAAUAAGGUAUACUGCUCACCCAAAGCUGACAUAUCGCCCGUAGGUCAAUAUAGUAUACCGGUAUACUGCUUACCCAAAACUGACAUAUCGCUCGAAGGCCGAUAUAGUAUACCACUCCAACCAUAUAGUCAAUUCAUCAUUUUUAUCAUUCACGAUAAAUAGUCGUGUGCAGGUACACGGUUGGCCUUAGCCAAAAUAUAAUAAUUUUACUUAAAAAUAUCUCACCAAUUUCAUCAGCCCAUUACAUAUUUUUGGUGCUGUAAACCGACGCCCGGUUAUUUCUCCAUUAAUAACCAAACUCAUAUAAUUUAGGAAUAAAUCCUAAAUUCACAAUUAAUUCAAUUCAGCACAAAAUAACGCUCAAAUAAAUAAACGGACUGCACCACGAUAAUUAGCACGGAAUUUUGAUCGUCAGCCUUCUAAAUCUUAAUUUCCGAAUUUUAAUUAAUUAAUUAAUUAGUUUCGAUAAUUAAUAAUUAAUUACAAUAAAUUCAAUUUAACUUAAAUUGGAGCUCAAUUAAAUAAAUGGACUUCACCACGAUCAUCAGCAUAAAAUUCCGGUCACUAGCCAUCCCAGUUGAAUUUUCGGAAAAUAAAUAAAUAAUUAAUUAAUUUCAAAAAUUAAAUAAUUAAUAUUAAAAAUUCAAUUUAGCUCAAAAUAAAGCCCGAUUAAAUAAACGGACUCCACCACAGUCAUCAGCAUAAUAUUCCGGUCACUAGCCAUCUCAAUUGAAUUUUCGGAAAUUAAUUAAUUAAUUAAUUUAAUUCCGAAAAAUAAUAUUUAAAUACCAAAAAUUCCACUUAGGCCCGAAAAGCCUAAUUGAAGCCCACUAAGGGUCGGGAAAAAUCCCGAGAUACUUUCAAUAAAUAGUAGACUACGUCUACUUGCUAAUUGCACAAUCAAUUUGUCUAAUUUACAUCACAAUUGACUAAUAAACACUAAUCCAUACUAAUCUAACCACCUAAACCUAACUAAUUAAAACUAAGAAACCCUUAAACGUGAUUAACCUACUAAGCAGGGAUUAGUGAGUUAAACUCACCCGAUUAACGAUCCAAGCGACUCAAAUCGACGAGGACGACGCGAGGAUCAAUUCACUUCAAGGCGGGCCUAGCUUCCGGGGUCGGGAAGCCGGCCAAAAUGGGCCACGAAGCCGCUGCCAUACCCAUUUUUGCACUCUAUGUGCGCUACUGGUUGGGGACGAAUACGGCGUCGGUUGAGGCAUGCAAGGGCCGAGAGGGGCUAGGCGGAGCUCCGGCGGCUGAGGCGGAGGUGUACGGCGGUCCACGGCGGCUCCAGCAGUGGCUCACGGUGCUGGACAGCUCGCUGGAACGGUGAGCUGGGCGAGAGGGAGGCCGAGACGAGCGGAGCAGUGGCGAGGCAACGACGUGCAGCUCGGUGGCAAACGGCGGAGGGCGGAGGCGCGAGACGGCAGUCCAGCAGCUAGCUAGCUGCUCCGGCAUCCUCAGAUCCGCUGGGUCUUCGAGCAAGAACCAGAGAUGGAGGAGAGAGACCGCGACGGGAGAGGAAGGGGAAGAUGGAGGGCGAAGGGCGUGCAAGCGGUCGUGGAGCUGCGACAGCGUGUGGCGUGAGGCGGCGACGACGACCUUG